GCUGGGCGUGGUGGUGCACGCCUGUAAUCCCAGCUACUCGGGAGGCUGAGGCAGGAGAAUCGCUUGAAUCCAGGAGGCGGAGGUUGCAGUGAGCUGAGAUCGCGCCACUGCACUCCGGCCUGGGCGACAGAGCGGGACUCUAUCUCAA
Molecule: non-coding RNA, 148 nt
Filed under: Homo sapiens (human)
Lineage: Eukaryota; Metazoa; Chordata; Mammalia; Primates; Hominidae
Source: Rfam by way of RNAcentral